Long non-coding RNA from Sinocyclocheilus grahami, 88 nucleotides. RefSeq lists it as uncharacterized. Lineage: Eukaryota; Metazoa; Chordata; Actinopteri; Cypriniformes; Cyprinidae. The record is from RefSeq and is a predicted model, not a curated record. The transcript is spliced from 3 exons.
UACUUCAGUCCCUCACAGCCUCGUUUUCAUUCCCGUCGGAAAUUAAAUAUGGCGCUUCCCUGACUAUUAUCUGCAUUUUUUUCUAUAU